GACGAACGCUGGCGGCGUGCUUAACACAUGCAAGUCGAACGGAAAGGCCCUGCUUUUUUGGUGUGCUCGAUUGGCGAACGGGUGCGUAGCACGUGAGUAACCUGCCCUUGACUUUGGUAUAACUUCAGGUAACUGGGGCUAAUACCGGAUAGGAUCUCCUGCUGCAUGGUGGGGGUUGGAAAGUUUCGGCGGUUGGGGAUGGACUCGCGGCUUAUCAGCUUGUUGGUGGGGUAGUGGCUUACCAAGGCUUUGACGGGUAGCCGGCCUGAGAGGGUGACCGGCCACAUUGGGACUGAGAUACGGCCCAGACUCCUACGGGAGGCAGCAGUGGGGAAUAUUGCACAAUGGGCGGAAGCCUGAUGCAGCAACGCCGCGUGCGGGAUGACGGCCUUCGGGUUGUAAACCGCUUUCGCCUGUGACGAAGCGUGAGUGACGGUAAUGGGUAAAGAAGCACCGGCUAACUACGUG
RNAcentral lists this ribosomal RNA (468 nucleotides) under uncultured bacterium. Its description in RNAcentral is "partial 16S ribosomal RNA". It matches the Rfam family "Bacterial small subunit ribosomal RNA", at positions 28 to 507 of the family's 1533-position model. The record is from RNAcentral.